CGACCGGGUGAGUAACACGUGAUUAACCUACCUUCGAUGGGGAAUAACUUCGGGAAACCGAAGCUAAUACCGCAUAACAUCCCAAGGACGAGAAGCCCAGGGAUCAAAGGAGCAAUUCGCUUGAAGAGGGGGUCGCGGCUGAUUAGCUAGUUGGCGGGGUAAUGGCCCACCAAGGCGAUGAUCAGUAGCCGGCCUGAGAGGGCGCACGGCCACACUGGAACUGAAACACGGCCCAG
Molecule: ribosomal RNA, 236 nt
Filed under: uncultured bacterium
Lineage: Bacteria
Description: partial 16S ribosomal RNA
Rfam family: Bacterial small subunit ribosomal RNA
Source: RNAcentral